UACUUGAUGUUAACCUAAUUAAAAUAUUAAUGUCUUUAUAAUUUUUUUUUUCUUUGCAGUUUUUCUGGUCCUUAAUAAAAGGUGUGCUUUACUCGCAACAGAAUGCAACUGUUGAGAAGAAGAGGGAGUGCCUUAUCAAGGCACUUUGUGUCUACCUAAAUGAAGAACUGGACAGUCUCUUCAAAGAAUAUCUGGAUACAGAUGGCUGUGCUGCAGAGAGGAUCUUGAACAUGUUGUAUUUGGCAUCUACAGCAUCAAUGUUGGAUGUGAUGCCACUACCUCUCCAGCUGAUGUUGGAAUUGUUAUUGAGGGUGUUGAAGUGCUUCAUGACUUGGGAGACAUCGCUACUACAUGUACGGUCUUAAUGUCUCCAGUUAUCCUCAGGAACUGAAAAUAUUCUGAGGUACUGCAGAAGAUCUUCCUUCAGCUGGAUGCUACCAGACUUUCACCAAAAGUACAGAUGCUUAAAAACAAACUUUAAGUAUAAAC
Clarias gariepinus (North African catfish) is the source of this 489-nucleotide long non-coding RNA. RefSeq lists it as uncharacterized. The record is from RefSeq and is a predicted model, not a curated record. The transcript is spliced from 3 exons. Lineage: Eukaryota; Metazoa; Chordata; Actinopteri; Siluriformes; Clariidae.